RNAcentral lists this long non-coding RNA (706 nucleotides) under Homo sapiens (human). Its description in RNAcentral is "non-protein coding lnc-FRG1-7:1". The record is from RNAcentral. Lineage: Eukaryota; Metazoa; Chordata; Mammalia; Primates; Hominidae.
CAGGUGGGGAACACCUAUGGCUGCACCAGGGUGCAACUACUCAGACUCCAGCGUGCAGAAAGGCCCCGGCUCCAUGCUGUUUCCAUAUCCCAGCCCAAGCUCGUCUAGAGCUUCAGCAAAUCCAAGCUUCCCUGAAUUCCCUGCAAGACUAAACCAAGCCCUACAACCCCCACUACACUGGUUAGCUGCCAGUCCGAGCCCCUGCUGCCUCCUGGGCCCCUGUCUGUACAGUUCUGGAGUCCUACAAGAAUGCUGAGAUCGUAAGCCGACUCUCACCCAAAGAGGUAAACAACCAGGGACCUCCAGGGGUGGAGAACAUACCCAGACAGGUUCUGCUGCCUGUAGGCUUCAUGUCCUUCCCCUACAACACGCCAUGCUUGCCAGGCUGGAAGAGGGGCUCCAGAAACUUGGGAAACCUGGGCCUGUAGCUGGCAUGUGGAAAAGAGGCCUGGAAAAGCACCACUCCUGUCCAUGAAGCCCCCACAUGGAACCAGGUAAUUGGGAAAUACAUGGGCACCAAGCCUGACGCCCUCCUCAGACCCAGGUGGGAACUGCAGCAGUGACUUGCCCCCUCUGCCUCUGGCUGUACCACUAUGAGAGGGAGGAACAUCCAGGUCCACACGUGAGUGGAGACACCAGGUGUGGGCAGGUUCCAGUGAUUGCUGCAGCUGAACCUUCCCAAGCAGGUCCAUGCAAGACCAUCUCA